RNAcentral lists this unclassified non-coding RNA (186 nucleotides) under uncultured fungus. Its description in RNAcentral is "sequence contains ITS1". Lineage: Eukaryota; Fungi. The record is from RNAcentral.
UUAACUAUUAUAUAGUACUCAGACAUCACUAAAAUUCAGAGUUUGGUCCUCUGGCAGGCACAUGCAGGCAGAGCCCACAGUGGGAGACCACGGCCUGCCAAAGCAACAAGAGUAGAUAGACACGGAUGGGGUAUACCCGAAGGUAUCCUUUUAUUAAUGAUCCUUCCGCAGGUUCACCUACGGAAA